GCAAACUUGGUCAUUUAGAGGAAGUAAAAGUCGUAACAAGGUUUCCGUAGGUGAACCUGCGGAAGGAUCAUCAAAAAAUUUUUGGACCUCUUUUUAUGGAUCUAAAAAAAAAAAUCCAUAAAUCCACUUUAUGUGCAACUAUUGAAAAGGAAGGUUGUCUCUGGGAGAUAAUUUUCAGAUUAUGAAAUUUCAUCUCCCAGAGGUAUUUUAAUCUACAAAAAUUUUUUUUCAUGACUUAAUUUUACAUAAAAAAUAAAAACAACUUUCAACAACGGAUCUCUUGGCUCUCGCAUCGAUGAAGAACGCAGC
RNAcentral lists this unclassified non-coding RNA (309 nucleotides) under uncultured fungus. RNAcentral's name for it is "partial contains small subunit ribosomal RNA, internal transcribed spacer 1, and 5.8S ribosomal RNA". The stretch from base 1 to 73 matches the Rfam family "Eukaryotic small subunit ribosomal RNA", at positions 1759 to 1831 of the family's 1831-position model. Lineage: Eukaryota; Fungi. The record is from RNAcentral.